RNAcentral lists this ribosomal RNA (516 nucleotides) under uncultured bacterium. RNAcentral's name for it is "bacterial SSU rRNA". It matches the Rfam family "Bacterial small subunit ribosomal RNA", at positions 798 to 1317 of the family's 1533-position model. The record is from RNAcentral.
CACGGUAAACGAUGGAUGCCCGCUGUUGGGCCUUUUGGGUUCAGCGGCCAAGAGAAAUCGUUAAGCAUCCCACCUGGGGAGUACGCCGGCAACGGUGAAACUCAAAGGAAUUGACGGGGGCCCGCACAAGCGGAGGAACAUGUGGUUUAAUUCGAUGAUACGCGAGGAACCUUACCCGGGCUUGAACUGCAGCGGAAUGCGGAAGAGAUUCCAAAGCCAGCAAUGGCCGCUGUGGAGGUGCUGCAUGGUUGUCGUCAGCUCGUGCCGUGAGGUGUCGGCUUAAGUGCCAUAACGAGCGCAACCCCUUCCGCCAGUUGCCAGCAUGUAAUGGUGGGCACUCUGGCGGCACUGCCACCGCAAGGUGCGAGGAAGGUGGGGAUGACGUCAAAUCAGCACGGCCCUUACGUCCGGGGCUACACACGUGUUACAAUGGCCGGCACAGAGGGCAGGUUGCACGCAAGUGUAAUCGAAUCUUUAAAUCCGGUCCCAGUUCGGACUGGGGUCUGCAACCCGACC